GGGCUCAUGGUCCAACAGGAAGACCCCGGCCUUGCAAGCCGGUGAUCCGGGUGCGAUUCCCGGUGAGUCCA
RNAcentral lists this transfer RNA (71 nucleotides) under Planctomycetaceae bacterium. Its description in RNAcentral is "tRNA-Ala". It matches the Rfam family "tRNA". From Rfam's summary of the family: Transfer RNA (tRNA) molecules are approximately 80 nucleotides in length. Lineage: Bacteria; Pseudomonadati; Planctomycetota; Planctomycetia; Planctomycetales; Planctomycetaceae. The record is from RNAcentral.